Molecule: ribosomal RNA, 435 nt
Filed under: Triticum aestivum (bread wheat)
Lineage: Eukaryota; Viridiplantae; Streptophyta; Magnoliopsida; Poales; Poaceae
Description: partial small subunit ribosomal RNA
Source: RNAcentral
AUGGCGCGGUGCUCGCGCGCUUGGCUCACGCUGCUUCUUCUCGCAUGUUGUGCCCUCGUGCAGAGCUCCCACGGCUCGAGACCCCCUCCCCGGGAGCCGCAGAUGGCUGGGGUCCUAUCUCCGACGAUGGUUCACGGCGGCGCCGCCGAACUGCUCUACGACGACGGGGCGACGGAAGUCCCGGAGGAGAGUGCGACCGGUCAUCGUGGAGCAAACGAUGAUGAUGGUGGCGCGGUUGCAACUUCAGCGAUGGGUGGGGAUGGUGUUGUGUCGUCGGAGCAGAGGAAGGGUACAGGGGCGCCGGUGCUGCAGCAGGCACUGGGUUCGAAGCUGGCACGCCGGGUGCUGGGAGGGGAGGCGGAGGACUCGGCGGCCGGGCCGUCGUGCCGCUCCAACAACGCACACAUCACCUGUGCCCCGCCGGCGCAGCACUGA